CCUACGGGAGGCUGCAGUCGAGAAUCAUUCACAAUGGGGGAAACCCUGAUGGUGCGACGCCGCGUGGGGGAAUGAAGGUCUUCGGAUUGUAAACCCCUGUCAUGUGGGAGCAAAUUAAAAAGAUAGUACCACAAGAGGAAGAGACGGCUAACUCUGUGCCAGCAGCCGCGGUAAUACAGAGGUCUCAAGCGUUGUUCGGAACCACUGGGCGUAAAGGGUGCUUAGGCUGUUUCGUAAGUCGUGUGUGAAAGGCGCGGGCUCAACCCGCGGACGGCACAUGAUACUGCGAGACUAGAGUAAUGGAGGGGGAACCGGAAUUCUCGGUGUAGCAGUGAAAUGCGUAGAUAUCGAGAGGAACACUCGUGGCGAAGGCGGGUUCCUGGACAUUAACUGACGCUGAGGCACGAAGGCCAGGGGAGCGAAAGGGAUUAGAUACCCCUGUAGUC
This 446-nucleotide ribosomal RNA is filed under the name uncultured bacterium. RNAcentral describes it as "partial 16S ribosomal RNA". It matches the Rfam family "Bacterial small subunit ribosomal RNA", at positions 338 to 795 of the family's 1533-position model. The record is from RNAcentral.